This is a long non-coding RNA of Oncorhynchus tshawytscha (Chinook salmon), 1390 nucleotides long. The record is from Ensembl. NCBI's taxonomy places the organism in Eukaryota, Metazoa, Chordata, Actinopteri, Salmoniformes, Salmonidae.
UGCAGGAUUCAGAAGGGUAACAUAGAUGAGGGUAGAAUGCAGGAGGAUUGAAUACAGGAGGGUAGAAUUCAGGAGGGUAGAAUAGAUGAGGGUAGAAUGCAGGAGGGUAGAAUAGAUGAGGGGUAGAAUACAGGAGGGUAGAAUUCAGGAGGGGUAGAAUGCAGGAGGGUAGAAUACAGGAGGGUAGAAUAGAUGAGGGGUAGAAUACAGGAGGGUAGAAUAGAUGAGGGGUAGAAUACAGGAGGGUAGAAUACAGGAAUGUAGAAUAGAUGAGGGGUAGAAUACAGGAGGGUAGAAUGCAGGAGGGUAGAUAUAGUAGGACAGAAUACAGGAGGGUAGAAUACAGGAAGACAGAAUACAGGAAGAUAGAAUACAGGAAGACAGAAUACAGGAAGAUAGAAUACAGGAAGAUAGAAUACAGGAAGAUAGAAUACAGGAAGAUAGAAUACAGGAAGACAGAAUACAGGAAGAUAGAAUACAGGAAGAUAGAAUACAGGAAGACAGAAUACAGGAAGAUAGAAUACAGGAAGACAGAAUACAGGAAGAUAGAAUACAGGAAGAUAGAAUACAGGAAGAUAGAAUACAGGAAGACAGAAUACAGGAAGAUAGUAUACAGGAAGGUAGAAUACAGGAGGGUAGUAAACAGUAGGACAGAAUACAGGAGGGUAGUAUAUAGUAGGACAGAAUACAGGAGGGUAGUAUAUAGUAGGACAGAAUACAGGAGGGUAGUAUAUAGUAGGACAGAAUACAGGAGGGUAGAAUCCAGGAGUGAUGAAUAGUGCCAACUAUAAAGUUUGGUGGAUGAGGAAUAAUGGUCUGGGGCUGUUUUUCAUGGUUCGCACUCCUUAGUUCCAGUGAAGGGAAAGCUUAACGCUGCAGCAUACAAUGACAUUCUAGAAGAUUCUGUACUUCCAACUUUGUGGCAACUGUUCGGGGAAGCCCUUUCUUGUUUCAGCAUGACAAAACGAGGUCCAUACAGAAAUGGUUUGCUGAGAUCAGUGUGGAAGAACUUGACUGGCCUGCAGAAAGCCCUGACCUCAACCCCAUCAAACACCUUUGGGAUUAAUUGGAACACCGACUGCGAGCCAGACACAAUCGCCCAACAUCAGUGCCCGACCUCAUUAAUGCUUGUGGCUGAAUGGAAGCAAGUCCCCGCAGCAAUGUUCCAACAUCUAGUGGAAAGCCUUCCCAGAAGAGUGGAGGCUGUUAUAGCAGCAAUGUUCCAACAUCUAGUGGAAAGCCUUCCCAGAAGAGUGGAGGCUGUUAUAGCAGCAAUGUUCCAACAUCUAGUGGAAAGCCUUCCCAGAAGAGUGGAGGCUGUUAUAGCAGCAAAGGGGGAACCAAGUCCAUAUUAAUGAGAUGUUGAGGUGAGGUGUCCACAUACUUUAUG